RNAcentral lists this ribosomal RNA (523 nucleotides) under uncultured bacterium. RNAcentral describes it as "partial 16S ribosomal RNA". It matches the Rfam family "Bacterial small subunit ribosomal RNA", at positions 28 to 522 of the family's 1533-position model. The record is from RNAcentral.
GACGAACGCUGGCGGCGUGCCUAAUACAUGCAAGUCGAACGAAGCUUUUUUAACUGGUGCUUGCACCGACUUAAACAACUGAGUGGCGAACGGGUGAGUAACACGUGGGUAACCUGCCCCAAAGCGGGGGAUAACAUUUGGAAACAGAUGCUAAUACCGCAUAACCACAGAAACCACAUGGUUUCUGUGUCAAAGAUGGUUUCGGCUAUCACUUUGGGAUGGACCCGCGGCGUAUUAGCUAGUUGGUAAGGUAAUGGCUUACCAAGGCAAUGAUACGUAGCCGAACUGAGAGGUUGAUCGGCCACAUUGGGACUGAGACACGGCCCAAACUCCUACGGGAGGCAGCAGUAGGGAAUCUUCCACAAUGGACGAACGUCUGAUGGAGCAACGCCGCGUGAGUAAAGAAGGUUUUCGGAUCGUAAAACUCUGUUGUCAGAGAAGAACGUGUGCGAGAGUAACUGUUCGUGCAGUGACGGUAUCUGGCCAGAAAGCCACGGCUAACUACGUGCCAGCAGCCGCGUAA